Molecule: long non-coding RNA, 276 nt
Filed under: Elaeis guineensis (African oil palm)
Lineage: Eukaryota; Viridiplantae; Streptophyta; Magnoliopsida; Arecales; Arecaceae
Description: long non-coding RNA (EGUI_LNC007994)
Source: RNAcentral
GGAGUUUUUCAUACUGAACCUCUUCAACACCUCCUCAAUGUAUAUUUUUUAUGAUAGUCCUAGUAUCCUUCUAGAUCUAUCUCUAUCGAUCUUAAUCUCUAAAUAAAAGAUAUUUUCCCUAGAUUUUUUAUGAAAAAUUUCUUGAACAACUACAACUUGGCCAACAUUAAUAUAAAAAUAUCAUUCUCAAUUAGGAGGAUGUCAUCCACAUACAAUACGAGGAAAGUGAUAGCACUCAUACUGACCUUUUUAAAGAUGCACGAUUUCUCUUCAUUU